RNAcentral lists this long non-coding RNA (1038 nucleotides) under Marmota monax (woodchuck). Lineage: Eukaryota; Metazoa; Chordata; Mammalia; Rodentia; Sciuridae. The record is from RNAcentral.
CUUUUAAAGUUUUUCUGCUAAAGUAUUGAAUUGUUUCUUUGUGUUUUCUUUAAGACUCAUUGAAUGUCUUUAAAACAGCUACUUUAAGGAGCUCUCUGAGAAUUCUCCCAUACUGAUUACUAUCUAUUCAAAUUCUGGCACCCUAUUUUGACUUUUUUUUUGAAGUCAUGGUUUCCUGGAAGCAAUUGAAGCUUGUUGGCAUAUGAUAUCAAGUGGGCAUUGAAGGAUUAAUAUUUCAGUCUUUAUAAUCUAGCUUUUUUUGUUUUUUGUUUUUUGUGCCCGCAUGUCCAGAAAUUCUAAGCAGGCUACUUAUUUUCUCUGAGCCUGUAUUCACUUGCAUUAUUUUAGCACUGGAUAGCACCCAGAUCCAAUUUUACUGGGAACCUACUGUUGGUUCAGUUGGUUCUAUUUCAGCACUAGAGGGUGAUCCAAACCCAGGUUUUUCCCUUCACAGCUGGUGUGCUGUUCAGAAGGAACUAAUGGAGUACCUGAGAAGAGUAUUCCAUGCCCAUAGACAUUUCCCUGGGACAGAAGUAGACCCACAGGCCUUAUCCAGAGUCACUGGCCUGUUCUCAUAUACUAUGGGAUUCUUCCAAGCUCUGGGUAGAAUCCUUGUGGAUAGACCAUCUCCAGUGUCAUUUAACUGUGUCAUAUACAUCUCACAGUCCACCAAGAUCAGCACAUCACUGGGGAAGGAUCAAGACCCACACUGCUAUGGGGUGCCUAUUGCUUGGGUUUGGGGACAAAGACCACUGCAACCAGCCACAAAUAAUAGUGGCUGGAAUAGAAACUUGAGAGACUGGAGCCAUAGAUCUUCUGUUGGCACCAGGGCUAUUCAGAGGCCCCAUCUGUAGGUAGGCCUUGUUUCCUUAGCUCCUGUGGAGGUGGUUUGGUAAACGUAUAACUGUCUAACCUGGUGUGUCUAGGGGACCUGAUAUCUGGAGGAUUUUUUUCUUGAUAUCUAGUUCUGCUCCUGGAAAUUUUAAAAAAAAAUUGUUUUCUAAUUGCUGCUUGUUUAUAAAAAAUGCAAUUAAUUUU